Molecule: long non-coding RNA, 21086 nt
Filed under: Daucus carota (carrot)
Lineage: Eukaryota; Viridiplantae; Streptophyta; Magnoliopsida; Apiales; Apiaceae
Description: long non-coding RNA (DCAR_LNC002488)
Source: RNAcentral
CACACAGUUGCAAAUAAACAUGAAGAGCACAGGAAAGAGCAGCUCAAAUCCCAAGGCAACCGGAAAAUCCGGUCACGAAGCCCGAAAAGAUCGCCAGUCCGGCACCGGAGUCACCGGAUCACCGAAGAAAGGCGGUCACGGCGGCAAGUUCACCUGGUCCGGCGAUAACGCAAACCUCGGGAACGAUGAGUUCAUCGUCGCCGUUGAUCGUAAUGACCCUAACUUUGAAGAUCCCGAUGUUGCUGUAGCGGAGAAUUAAUAGAUUAUUAUUCGAUAGAUGUAUGUAUGUAUAUGUUUGUUUUUCUGGUAUUAAGUUGUAUCGAUAUAUGGAUUUAUCUCUGUAUGAUGAAGUAUCGAUCAUAAUAAAAUUGUCGCGAUUUAAUUUUUCUCGUAACAUCGAUCCGGUCCGGAGUCCGAAAAUAUGUUUAUAAUAAUAUAAUGAAAGAUUGUGAUAAUAUGCAUAUCAGAAUACAAUGCAACAACGAAGUGUUGUGUGUGAAAUUAGAAUGAUACAAGAGCAUAUGUAUGUUUUCAACUGCAGGACACUAAACAAGAGGCGAAACUCGAUCAAAUCAAAAUUUAAAACUUGCUGAUUAUGUAACAAAGUGUUAUUAGAGACCGGAAGCACGGUGGAUGCUGCUUCGUUGAGUGGAUUGAGUUUACAUUUACAGGUACACUUCACUUUCCUUGUUCUGUUGCUAUGUGUUAGUUACAUUUUUAGAGAAUGUAGUAAUUGUUUGGCGAAUAAUUGUAAAUUUUUAAAGACUGUGUAAUUGUUUAGGGAUUAAUUGUUUUGUUGUUGAAGGCGGCUCUACGGAUCAGAAUAUCUGGACAUAUAUAAUCCUGAAUUGAAGCAUUGUUGCAAUUUGUUGAUUUUGUAAUUUGGAUCUGUGGAAAAAGGAUUCUGUUGAACUUCGUUUCUUCGUGUAUUUUCUUUCUGUUUCAUCGUUGGAAGGUCUCGGUUAGGUGAGAAGUGCUAGAGACACAAUGCAUUUGUUAGGGGAAUUUCGGAAAAUAAAGUUGUUACAAGUGUGUUGAGUUCUUAAUUUGGAUAAGUACUGGAAAAAAGAGUUUGUCGAAAUUCUUUGUAUUAUUUUUGUUCGUUGCAAAUGCUGAUGGUAAGAUAUAAUGUAGGAAUUUUCUGAGAAAAAAAAUAGAAUAAGGUAUUAAGAUAUUUCGAAAUGGUCGGCCGUUACUUGACUUCAUUAUAGGAAAUUCACUUAAAUUUAAGCAAAUCAAGGCAUUUUGCAUAUGGUGCUUAGGACGGAAGCAACUGUAUAAGUCCUGAUCCAAAGUUGUUCGUCUUAGAUUGAAUCAUUGUUAAGUGCAGCAUAAUAGUAACAGUUUUGGCUUGCUGAACUGAGUGGGUGCAAGGAGCAUUGGUAAUAUAUCAUAGUGCUUGUUUGGCAACUUUUGGUAGUAGUAACUCCCAAAGCUUCGAUAUAGAGGACCUUUAUUGCUAUAUGGUUAGGUGGUGGUUCACCUUGAAAUUGUAUCUGGUAUGGCAAAGAAAUUGCUAUGGGAUUAAGUAUACAAUAUUAGUUAACCGGGCUCACUUAUCACUGAUCAGGAUUCCCCUUGGUAUUAUUCUGUCUAUCAUUUAUUUUAUAUAUUGCUGUAUAUGAAUAACAUUCAUUUGUUAAUUCUAAGACUUCAUAAUAUAUUGUAUUAUGUAUAGGAUACUUCAAGUGUACUUCCUCUCCUUUAUAUUAUCUUUACUAGCUUAUGACCCGUGCCAAGCACGGGUUUAAAUUAUUUUCUUAAAUUUAUUAUAUAUUAUAAUUAUAGGGUCGCGCUCAUGAGAAAACCUAUCCUUAAAAUAGAACCUUAGUGAUAGAAUCACUAAGUUUCUGCUGCAGAAUCCUAAAUUUUAAAUAGAUUUUCAGGAUCUAAAUCUAAAUACAUGUUUUUUGUAUCGUUGUAUGUGUUCAAAAGCAAUUUAAAAAUACAAUACAUAAAUACGACACUUUUUGCAUGUGCAGUCCGUAGAACCCUAAUUAAUACUAGAAAUAACGCUAAGGUUUCUUAGGCUAAGAUUUCUAAGAGGACCAUGACCCUAUAAUUAUAAUUAUAAUCUCUUUUAUUUGAUUAUACACUAUCUUUGUUUAGAUACAAUACUUUCUAUGUAUUGACUUUUGAUCCUUUUUUACUUUUUUUUCUACAAAAAUUAGGGUUUUAUAUCAAACCAGCUACCUAUGGAACGAAAUAUCUCAAGUAGACCACUUAUUCUAACGAGGUCUCAUUCAAAACCUUAAAAUUAAAUUUUAUAUCAUGUCGCUAACUCCAAUUUAAAAAAAAGAUGAAAAAUGUUAAAAUAUUCACUCUGUUUUAACGAGGAUUAUCUGUAGAAACAUAGUGAGAGCGAGGAUACUGAGAAUAAUGGAUCUCAUCACUCUAUUUUUACAUUUUUCGUCUAUUUUUUUCAUAAAUUAAAUUGUUUGAGUUUCAAAAAUUAAAACAAAUAGUUAUGUUGGUGAUAUAAUUUUGUUGAUGGGAUAGUCGUUACAUUACAGAAUCCUGAAAAAUAUGGAAGUCUUUUCAGAGUAGUAUAAUAAUAGUAAUUAUUACAAAUAAACAAAAAUUACAUGAUAAUAACCAAAUUUUGGUACUUUGGUAUUUACUAUUUCUGAUGUUCCACUGAAAGGGGGUUUUGCUAAUUAAUGAAGAGUAUAGAUUACACAAAAUUAACCUUCUAAUUUUUGGAAACCUGAAUAAUUGGAACAAAUGCUGUUUAGUAAGUGGAUUUGCUCGACACAAUUGUACACUUACAUCAUCUUUUGUCGUUUCAUUUAAACUGUAUCAGUUAAAAUGUUGACAAUGUCCACCAAGGUGCACACAACACUCUGAGAGUAGAACUUGAGAUCACAGGAUACACUUUUUCAUCCUACUUGAUCACAGUUCACAAAAGAAAAAUAUAAUUGAACCAUCCACCUAUAAAUUUAGUUUUGCUGUUUGUUUUCCGAAUAUUUUUAUGCAUUUAUGUUAGCACACCAUUGAGGACUAGUGACACAUGUAUUAUAGCUUUGGAGACUCUCCAAAUUUCAUGUUGUACAGCACUCCAUGUAUUAUUGGCCAAAUGUAUACUUGCGCUUGGCCCUCUAUCUGGUGUCACUGAUCCAGGGUAGGAUACUGAUCCAUGAGCAAUAUGCUCUGAUGGUGCAUAAAUCUGAGAUACGGAGCAUGAGCAGUAUGCUCUGAUGGUGCAUAUAUAUGGUUUUAAUUUUAGACUGGAGGUAUUCAAAGUUAGAAUAGCUGUUNAGGGAAAGACGCAUACCAAGUGCUUAUACCAUGGUCGUCCAAGCAGUCCAUCUCUGUCUAUAAAUACUCGUUCUGCCAUCAUCAGUCUGUAAUUAACUGUCUCACCUGCCAAGCUUUACUUCUUCACAUUGAUGCCCAUCCUUCGGAUCCUUGUAUUGCCUGAGAGUCUAGCCUCUUUUAUAUCUAGACAUUGAUAAUUGAGCUUUAGUUUCUUACUUCUUAGUGAUGACUGAUGAGCUAUACCAUUCUUCAUAAUUAAUAUAUGUGGCUGCUAUUUUCAAAUCUUCAAUAGACUUGAACAAGGGAGUGAGUUUGUCCUUUUCCAAAACCUCACUCAUAAUGUUGUCAUCAUAUUGAGUGGUAGACUAGGUAACCUGCAAUUGGCAGCCAAUCCUAUAGGUCCCAAAUAGCAUAACUCCUUUACAAUUAAUACCAAGCAGUCGAAGUGGUAAUAUAUCUUUUUUAUAAAUGAUUAUACAACCAUGUUAUCUGCAGUAUGUUCUUUUUCCUGGUGGCAAAAGGCUCUGCAAUUUUAGCACACAUUAUUCAUGUCGAGCUCAAGAUUAGUUCUAUAUUGUAGGCAUGGGUCAGUUGUGUUAUAUCUCUUUCUUAAGAUUGUAGCUUAGCGGCAUAAUCAUGUUGUACAAGCAGCACUAUCAGAGUUCCUAGGCAAUCAUAUCUAAUGGUCUAAAUGAAUGCAAAACAAGAAGUUAUAAAGUUAAUAAUGUGCUAUUUUGUUAUAUUAGCAUAUGUUAUUCCUUCAAAAAAAAAAAGUAUAUGUUAUAAAAUCUCUAUGUUAUUUUGUAAUUAAAUAUAAACAUCACCUGAAUAAGAGAUGAAUCUGAGGUUAAGUACCAUUUUUUUUUUGCUUUUUACUAAGAUUUUACUGUGUUCCACGUUCUAGACCUUUCUUUAAAUCAUUUUCACUUUCUAUUAUGGCAUUUUCCAGCAGACCUUGCAUGGACUAAAUAAACCGAGUUAUAUAUAUCAUAUAUGCAUCUCCUGGCCAAAUUUCUAAUAUAGGUCUCCCUGGUUCUUGCAUAUGUUGUUGUGUGACCUUUGUAAGCUAAAUUACAUUCUAUAAUAAAUUCCUGUUCUAAUUCUUAGUUUCUUUUAUCUGUUUCAUUUUGCAGUAAAACACUGUUAUAGUAUAAUUUAUCUUCUGCUAUAUUAAGGCUGGAAAACGUUAGAUGCUUUGUUUCUUGUUCCAAUUAUUUUCCUGUCACAGUUCCUGAUGUCAAGUCUACUAGAUAUGAGGUAGAUCUGAUUUUCCACAUUUUUCUAUAUAACAUAAUCCUAAUCUUUGCUAAGCUAUCAAGUGAAAACCAAUGUUUUAUAAACAUAUUUAAGUCACAUAUGUGUAGUUAUAAACUUAUAAUCAUGAAUACCUGAUACAUAUAAGUGCAUAAAAGAUGAUAUUAUAUUACCUUUACCAAAUGAUGUAUCAGCUGCUGGAACACCUACAUUCUGUAAAAAUGCUGCAUAGUAUGAACCUGCACCUCCAACCUUCCUAUCUUUAAAUGUACAAUAAUUUAUUCCAACUGAUAAAUUGAGCCUAAAAUAUCAAUCAUCUUAUAGCACGUCUGGAUCUGGUGAAACAGCUCAUUUUCUAUACUUAUUACGAAUAUGGGGUUCACCCUUCCCAUCUGAAAUGUUGUUAUAUGCUUACCUUAAGAUUGACGGCAGCUCUGGUCCAUGAGUCAAAGAUUGUAUGUGAUGGGUUAUCUGGAUCUUGAACCUUAAAGAGUAAUUUGACAUCUUAGGCAUGAUUUGCGUGUGAUAUUUCUUUAAAAAUCUGACAUCCAUCUCCUUUAGAUGCACCCUGGCAAAUUCAUAUUCUAAAAUCAAACCUGGCACAGGCAUUAGUUUAGUUUAUUCUGUUGUUUGUCAUAGUUUAUAUUACAAUCACUUGACAUGUUAGGGAUCAUUUUGUUAAUGGCAAUGGGAGUGCGGUAGACAGGAAUAGGAAAAUUUGGAAUCCCAUGGGGUACAUCAAUAUCUCCUCCCUUGUCUACCUCAUGGUCAGAUUUUCUUCACGUCUUUUUACUUGGCCAGCCUUGCGGGGUUGGAUCUUGGAUCACCUAAAUUUUUAUACAGGGAACCCGCCUGGACUCCACUUGGUGGUAUCCACUUAUCACCAGGAAACCCUUUUGCAUCACCUCCACCACCAUAGUCUUUUCUAUCUGUGACAACACGGCCCCCAUAGCACCUGGUUCGUAUGCAUCUGUCACAAUGUACCCUCUAUAUAAUCGUCCUAUCCUAGUUAAUAUUACAGUACCUAGACUAUUCGAACCUUGGGCGAGUUUUCUUCUAGUGUAGUGAAAUUCUUGUGAAGUCCUUAUUAAAGUUAUCCUCGGCUCCUUUGUAAUCCUGGUUCUGAUAUAUAUUUUAAUCCUCUAGUACAUGUUCCACCAGUUUUUAUGUCGAUGGUCGAAUGAACAGUGUCUCUAUAGAAGUUAUUCAUCUUACUUAAUACCUUGUCAAGUUUGGAAACAAUAACUGGUUUGGCUUGCUGGUGCAAGUUGGUGUGAGAAUAAGCUUAUGUGAAGAAAUCGCGGUUUAUUGGUUCUUGGUUGGCAUUUACAUAUGUAGAUUGAACUUUAGUGCUCUGUAGUUAGGUGGUGGCUCACCGCUCACCUUAAGAGUUUAAACUUUGCCUAGUUGUAUUGGCUCAAGGUAGUAAUUCAUUUGUUUGAAACUAUAUGGAAGUUAACAAUAACAUAAAAUAGCACAUAGAGCGAUACCUGCUGACUGCUAGGUCUAUGUAUGUAUUAUCAUGUCCAGUUCUAUAGUUUUUGAAAACCUUGAAAGAAUAUGUCCCUGCAAAUGUUUAAUAUUCCAUGUUUUUUUCAUUAAUGUAAGUUGUUUUCCUAUAGUAAUGGUAGUGGCCUGUCAAAUAGUUGUCCACAAUCUUCUAUUGCCAUUAUUUCAAAUUUGGAUUUGUUAUUAUUUUGACACUGUUCACCCAAUUGCACACAACUCUCAGAAUUUGGCUUUGAUAAUAUAGGACAUUAAUUUUUCAGCUUAUGUGCCCGCAAAGAAAGUAUUUAUAAAAGCUUUCACCUUGAAAUAAUGAGUCCCGGAUUGUUUAUUUUGCAUAUAUUUUAUGCACUCAUGUAAGCACACCAUUUAGGACUAAUGAUACAUGUAUAACAGCUCUAGAGACUCUCCAGACUUCAUGUUGGACAGAACUCCAAGAUUCUAUUGUGUUCUCUUGCUUGGCUUUUUCUAUGGCAUCAGUGAUGCCAGGGAAGGAUACUGAUCCAUAAUCAUCAUGCUCUGAAGGCGCAUAAAUCUGAGACAAAAGACAUUUGCUUUUUAGUAUUUAGAUGAAUAUAUGAUUUAAAACUGAGACUAUUUGAAGAUUGAGUUGUGAGUAUUGAGUAUCUGUUAUGAACCCAAAUUCAACAACAAACAUUUGUUAGGUUUUGUUACAGGAAAGAGACACAUACCAAGUGUUUAUACCAUUGUCGUCCAAGCAGUCCGUCUCUGUCCAUAAAUGCUCGUUCUGCCAUCAUCAGUCUGUCAUUUAACUCUCUGACUUGCCUUGGUUUAGUUCCCCACAUUGAUGCCCAUCCUUUGGAUCUUUCAAGUGCCUGAAAAUCAAGCCUUGUUUAUUUUCAUAAACGGCAAAGUAAGAUCCUAUUUCUUAGUGAUAUAAGCCGCACCUUUAUUUCAUUAUCUAUUUUGGUGGCUGCAAUUUUUAAAUCUUCAAUAGACUUGAACAAGGGAGUGACGUCUAUGUUCUUAUCAAUAAGCUCAUUUGUAAGUUCGUCUGCAUUUUUCUGUAUUAGAUUCAGAAAUGAAUGACAAUGUGUGGCAGAUACGUUAAGUGGUGUAUGUCAUGUACUUGAAUAUGCGGCUAAUAUAGGAUGUAGGUAUACCUGGAGCUCAAAUGCAUAGGACAAAUAAUUAAAAGGUAAAAAUUCCUCAUCUGCAAGUGAAAGAGCUACUAAGCCCCAAAUGCUUGCCACUGUGCCAAAAUAACGUUUUAAGCACAAAUGUUAAUUUACAAGUAUGCUUAUGCGUGUAUAGGACUAGAGUUCUAAUGGUGUAAUUGUGCAGAUAUGCUUGAUAUGGAAGACACAAAAACCUGCUACAUGUCUGCGAAACAUCGGGUCACCAAAAUCUCUCAUCCAAAUGAAGUCAUCAUACAUUGAGUGGUAGACUGGGUAACCUGCACUGCAACUGAUAUAGUAAGUCAUAAAUUUAGCAACAAUAAUGAUUCCUUUACUUGCAACAGUAAGUGGUUAUAGAAAUGCCAACUGAAUCUUAUUUUAUGCAGAAUGGUGUUUUCCUUGAUAAAGUUCUGCAAUAUUAGCACACAAGUUUUGCACAACUAACUCUAGAAGGGGGAUGCUAGAGGCAGGUCAGUUGUCUGUGGCAAGACAUUUUAGAGUUCCGACGUUAUGUUGCUAACCAUUUCAUCAGUUCAUUUUAGCUUCAAACUCCCAUUUAUUUACAACUUUAACAAUGCUUGUGAAUCGUGACUGGGGUUGGGUAAAUUAAUUCCUAUCUUAAAUAUCUACCUAUAAUUUUUAUUUAGGCCUCAUUUUGCGGUAGAAGCCAGGAAGUUCCAAUUUUUUUUUGUUAGAGCUAUAAACUUGAUCCUUUGUUCCUUGUUGCUAAUUCUUACUGUCAUAGAUUCUGAUGUUAAGUCUAUUAGAUAUGAGGUGGAUCUACCUUCACAUUUCUAUUGCAUCCUAAUAUAUGACCAUUAACUAUCAAGUAAAAAUCAUAAAAAUCUUCAAGUCACAUAUAUGAUGUAUGCAGUUAUUAACAUUACAGAUUAGGGUAUGAUCUGUAACCUUAGCAGAUAAAAGUUCAUAGAAUGAAGUGUUGCUACCUUCACCAAAAGACAUAUCAGCUGCUGGAAUACCUACAUGCUGUAAAAACGGUGCAUAGUCUGAACCUGCACCUCCUAACCUUCCGAUCUUUGUAAAAACAUUAGUUUAGUUGAACUUAGAUUCGAGUUCAAGAUAUUAAUUAAGACGAGGCCUUAUUCUGGAUCUAGAGGAACAAACUAUUAUCUUCUGAUCACAUAUUUGGGCUUCUUCCUUUCCUUUAAAAAUGUCAAAUACUUACCUUUGGAUGAUCACUAGUGCCAACCCACGAGUCAAAGAUAGAUUGUGAUGAGUUUUCUGGAUCUCGAACCUCAAAAAGACAUUUUGAAAUUUUAGUUAUAGUUUGUGAGUAAAAAAUUGGAAACACUGACAAUUUUUAUGUUUCUAAAAUCAACUCUAGCACAGGCAUAUAGUUUAUUCAGCCGCCAAGCACUGCUUUGAUUGCAAUUACUUAAAAGUGGUGCUGUAGGCAUAUAGCAUUUAUAAGACUUUUCAGUAUAAUAUCAAUAAUAUUUGUAAUUUUUUGUAUCGGUAAGCUUUAAAAUGUUGCCAUUGCUUGCAACUGCAAUUUUUAUUGGCAAAUUUUUUGUUCUGGUUACAAACUUAUUUAAUACCUGUUUAGUAGCUUGCAUCAAUAAUUGAUCCAGCUGUGGAGUUGCUGCAGCUUGAAAUCCUGCUCCACUAACUGCAACAUCAACAUUCAGGUAGGCUACAACCCUUGAGGUUAGCAUUUCCCUGUUCUCUUCAACCCAUUCUGUUGAACCUAUCUGUACAUUGCUAAUAAUUUGAAUUUAGUAAAAAUUUUCAUGUGCUGUCUACUGUCUUUGUGCAUGUGUAGUGUGUGUUCCUUGAAAUUGAGAGGUAGAGAAAGAGACCAGGCCAUACUCCUCUGCAUCCCAAUUACAAAAGAUGAUUGUCCGUCUUGGUUUCCACCCCUUUUUCUGCAACUUGCUUAGCCUAUCGGCAACCUAAGUAGCACAUAUAAUCAAGUGAAUGUAAGGGUUAGUACUUUCACUUGGAGACCUUGGUUUGACUUGUACUAUUUUAAAGAGGAUGCAUGAAUGCAAGGCGACCUCAAGCAAAGCUGCUGUGCCACUGUUGGGAUCAGCAGCUCCAAAAGUCCAUGCAUCUCUAUGAUUACCCAGUAUUACAAACCUGCAAAUGGUUUCCACCUAUAGUAGUUAAAUUUCUACAAAACAAGUUUCAGUGUUUGAUUGAAGUCUGUACAACUCAAACAAAUAAAAUUAAUCUACUGUCAGGGAAACCAAUACCGAUCAGGUUCUUCCUCCCCUUCAAUUAUACCUAUAACAUUUUCUAUUGUAUUAAUGCCUUGUUUUCCCUGCAAAAUAAAAGAACAAUUACAGUGCAACAGUUCACUCUCGGCUAUUAUAUCCCCUGUCAAUUUCAUAGCCACAAUACAGUUAGAAUUAUGGUCCGUCAGUCACUUACAGUGUAACUGAGAUUUAAGAUGCCCGGCCCUGGUCCAAUGUUGUAAACUGGACCAUCUUUGCAUCCCUGCCAGUCAUUGUCUGCCAUUUCUCCACCAAUGGACUUUAUAAUUGCCUCACCGUCUGCUGCUGAUACAGGCAGUGAAGGUAUCAAUGGAAUGUCUCCUCCCUUGUCCACCUCAUCAUCAGAGAUUCUCUCACACCCUCCCGUGCUCGGCCACCCUGUUGUGGUUGGAUCUCCACAUCCAUUAUACAGUGUUCCUACUUGGACUCCACUUGGUGGCAUCCACUUAUCAUGAGGAAACCCUUUUCCAUCACCUCCACCCCCAUAGUCCUUUUUAUCCGUGAAUAACACAGCACCUAUAGCACCAGCUUGGUAUGCAUUUGCCACAAUGUCCCCUCUAUAUAUUUGUCCCAUCCUAGCCAAUACAACAGUGCCCGACACAUUCACCCCUCUUGUUUUCAAAAUCAUAAAAUCUUCCACACGUCCAUAAUUAACAUAGACAACUGGUCCGACCACAGUACCUGAUCUAGCAUAUGCAUAGAACGUAGGUAGGACUUCAUCUGCCACGUCUAUGUAGGGGUCACCCUCGUAUGUCUCUUGUUGAAGUUCAAAUUUAGUAGUUGUGCCCGAAGGUGGAUGAGUCAGUGCUAGUGACCUCGAGACAGGAUAAGUCAAUGAUACUCCAUAUGAUCUAAUAUGUGAUCGGAUAUCAUAGGAAGAUAGAGUAGACAGAACAUAGCGUGCGACCUCAGCAUUAGCUUCAGUGCCUGCAACAUGGGGUCUGCGAGUUGGUGAAUAGAGGUGUUGCGAGACUGAAACAUUGUCUGAAAAGGUACUUGAAAUAUAUAGUAAAGUGAUUGGAUUUUUCUACCUUUGAUUCUCUAUCAUGGUUGGCAUUUUUGGACUGCAUAGCAUCAGAAGUAGAUAUACUCAAAUUAUUGAGGAAGAAAUGUGUAAUCAAUGUGUGAUAUCAUUCUGAUUAUACAAUCUAGAUUAUCUCUUAAUUAAGGUAAUUAGCAUGCGCAUUAUGAGCAUUAUAAGGCAGAGAUAUUUGUAGAAUAGUUAAAGCUGAUAAAAGCCACAUUCUUGAAUAUUUUUUCUGGCAUGAAGAAGCUAAAUGCCAAAAGGAGUGGGGGCAAUGAAAUUAAGUUUUGUUUGUUGAGAGUUGCUUUUCAAAGUCACAUUUCACAAGGGGUUUAAGUCAUACUAAUAAUAGGACCAGUAUAUGUCACUUGUCCAUUUCCUGGUGUAAAGUUAAAAGCUAAUUUCAUAUAUCUGAGUUUCAGUUUGUUUAACAGAAAUCUAUCCAUGUUGGUUUCACAUUAGGGUGUUGUUCUUGGCCAUUGAUGCCAAGCUGUGUAUCUGUAUUAGUACCUAUAGAGGAUUCCAUUAAUAAAUUUCCAGGAGCAAUAAAACAUGCACCAGUGGAUUAAUUAGAUGGGAGAUGGUGUCUGGCAAUCGUAUUCUGACAACAAACUUUAUGCGCUUUUUUAUAGCGGAAUUAUGAAAAUCUGGAAUGUGUGUUUAAAGCGCUGAUAGACAACAUGGUGUCCUGUUCACAUAAAAAAUCAUGGUGUCUUUCGGUAAUUGUUAGGAACCCGGUUCAUGAAGAGUUUUUUAAGUGAAAACCUGAAAUCUUGUGGCCUUUAGGAGUACCUGCAUCUCUCCUGCGUUAGAGUGUUUCUACGGAAUUAAUAUAUUUACUACUGUAUAAAUUUUGUUUGAGCUCUAUAAAAGAACAAUUUGACGAUCCACAACUAAAGAUCAACUUUAACUUGAGUUGGUUUGUUGAGCUCGAGGNAAGGUGGAUGAGUCAGUGCUAGUGACCUCGAGACAGGAUAAGUCAAUGAUACUCCAUAUGAUCUAAUAUGUGAUCGGAUAUCAUAGGAAGAUAGAGUAGACAGAACAUAGCGUGCGACCUCAGCAUUAGCUUCAGUGCCUGCAACAUGGGGUCUGCGAGUUGGUGAAUAGAGGUGUUGCGAGACUGAAACAUUGUCUGAAAAGGUACUUGAAAUAUAUAGUAAAGUGAUUGGAUUUUUCUACCUUUGAUUCUCUAUCAUGGUUGGCAUUUUUGGACUGCAUAGCAUCAGAAGUAGAUAUACUCAAAUUAUUGAGGAAGAAAUGUGUAAUCAAUGUGUGAUAUCAUUCUGAUUAUACAAUCUAGAUUAUCUCUUAAUUAAGGUAAUUAGCAUGCGCAUUAUGAGCAUUAUAAGGCAGAGAUAUUUGUAGAAUAGUUAAAGCUGAUAAAAGCCACAUUCUUGAAUAUUUUUUCUGGCAUGAAGAAGCUAAAUGCCAAAAGGAGUGGGGGCAAUGAAAUUAAGUUUUGUUUGUUGAGAGUUGCUUUUCAAAGUCACAUUUCACAAGGGGUUUAAGUCAUACUAAUAAUAGGACCAGUAUAUGUCACUUGUCCAUUUCCUGGUGUAAAGUUAAAAGCUAAUUUCAUAUAUCUGAGUUUCAGUUUGUUUAACAGAAAUCUAUCCAUGUUGGUUUCACAUUAGGGUGUUGUUCUUGGCCAUUGAUGCCAAGCUGUGUAUCUGUAUUAGUACCUAUAGAGGAUUCCAUUAAUAAAUUUCCAGGAGCAAUAAAACAUGCACCAGUGGAUUAAUUAGAUGGGAGAUGGUGUCUGGCAAUCGUAUUCUGACAACAAACUUUAUGCGCUUUUUUAUAGCGGAAUUAUGAAAAUCUGGAAUGUGUGUUUAAAGCGCUGAUAGACAACAUGGUGUCCUGUUCACAUAAAAAAUCAUGGUGUCUUUCGGUAAUUGUUAGGAACCCGGUUCAUGAAGAGUUUUUUAAGUGAAAACCUGAAAUCUUGUGGCCUUUAGGAGUACCUGCAUCUCUCCUGCGUUAGAGUGUUUCUACGGAAUUAAUAUAUUUACUACUGUAUAAAUUUUGUUUGAGCUCUAUAAAAGAACAAUUUGACGAUCCACAACUAAAGAUCAACUUUAACUUGAGUUGGUUUGUUGAGCUCGAGGUUGACUCGGUUGACAACGAAUCGGCUGAAAACCAAAUGAUAGGUCCGUGAAUAUCUUGAGAUCGGAUCGAAUUGGGUUCAGCUUAAGAUAGUGAGUAAUAAGUGAUAAGUGAUAACUGAUAACUCAUACUCCCUCCGUCCCAGUGAAUUGUAUACAGUUUCCUUUUUGGGAAGUCCCGUAUACAUUCCAAAAGUAGUAAACUUUUAUAAUAUAAAAUAUCAUUACACCAACUACUUUCCUCCACUAUCUAUAUUCUAUAAUAAUAUAAAUACUAUUACACCCACUACUUUCCUCCACUAUCUCAAAUCUAUUAUUAAAUAUUAAUGGAUCCCACCAUUAUACCCACUUUUCAUCUAACUUUACUCAUUUCCUACACAAUUUAUUGGUCUCCGUGUCCCAGCCAUUUGUAUACAAAUGACUGGGACGGAGGGAGUAACUGAUAACUAUCAUUAUUACAUGAGUUUGUUGCAUGAUGGAGUAUUAUUUUUGUGAAAUAACUUAAGGCUUAAAGUGUGAGUUUUGUGCAGUGUUGUAAAAAGCGGGAAUCGGACUUAAUCGGUGAAGUUACGGAACAAGGAUUAAUCGGAGAUUAAUUGAACUAAUCGAGGAUUAAUCGGAUUGAUCAGUGAUUAAUCGGAGAUUUAAUCAGUUCGGCGAGCUACGGAACAAGGAUUAAUCGGUGAUUAAUCGUGAUUAAUCACCGACUUUUAGAACAGAGGUUUUGUGUGUAAAAUAUAAUCACUUGUAUCGCAAUCAUUUCACUAGAUAGGUUAGGUAGUCUCAAAUUCUCAGUGGGCUUUGUUUCCAUUUUUUAUUUUUUUCAAAUAAGGCUGAAAUUCAAACCGAGUUCGGGUUUGAAAAUUAAAUCCAGAUAUUCAAAAGAACAAAAUUUAAGAGGUUGCAACUUGAACUUAUUAUUUUAAAAACUAAACCUUUUUAUUUACUUUUAGUUAUAGUUAUCUUUGUUUGAUUUAAUUUGUUAUUAAUUAUGUUAAUAAUGUGGUGAAACAUUGUUUGAUUUAAUUUACUGAUUUAAUUUAUUUCUAGUUAUCUUAGUUAUGUAAUGGGCUAUAAAACUGCACAUUUUAUAAUAUAGAUGUAAAAUAUGAUAUCUGUAAAAAAAAUUAGUUAAAUUUAAUUAAGCGUUCAUUCCAACGUUCAGUUUGAUUUUCAUUCGGCAAUGAAAUGAAAAAUUAUAUAUUAUUUUUGUAUUUAAUUUCAGAUAUUAUAUAAUAUUAAAGGACUCAAAUAUAUUUAUUUUUAUAAUAAUAUAGUUUAUUCAUAUUUAUGAAUACAGUUUAUUAUUUAAAGAUUUUAUUAAUUUUUUAAAAUAACUUGACUUAUAAAUCAUAUCAAAAUUAUUUUUAAUUUGUAAAAACUAAAUUAAAAUCUCAAAAAUAUUUUACAUAACAAUUUUGUAAGUUAUUUUACAUAUUAAAAUAACUUGGCAUUACUGUUGCUGGCAGGCUUGCAGCAACAUCAUCUUUUUUCUGAAAAGCGGUUAAAAACUGUUUGGUAAAUCUGAAAACAGUUUUUUGGAACACUAUUUUUCAGAUGAAAAGCUGUUUUUAGAAAAAGCAGGUCCGUUGAUACGUUGAAAAAAAAACUUUUUUCCAACUUUUGCAUGAAGCUAUUAUAGAUUUCAGUAUCAAAAUUCACCAAAACAUUAUUUUUAUAUUAUAACUCAAAAUAAGUAAAUAUUACCUCAUAUCUUGAUACAACUUUUUAUUUCAGUUGCAACAAAUUCUAAUUAUUUCCCAAAAAGCACAUUCCCUCUAUUUUUCUUCGAAGAUUAUGGAAUUAUGCCAUAACAUUGAUAUAUAAACUAAAGGGAAAAUAGAUUUUUUUUGCCACCCAAUUUAUUAUUUGUUUAGAAACCUACCAUUGAACUAUAAUUUUUUUCUUUUUUGUCACUAAUGUUAGGUUCGGACUUUUUUUUGUCACUAACGUUAGGUUCGGAUUUGAUUAUUAACACUAUGUUAUUUUUUUAGUAUUAUUAAACUAUAGUGUUAGUAUGCAAUAUAAUGGCGAUCUGAUAUGUGUCUAUAUCUUUAUGUAGUAUCCUAGGUAGUUUACCUUGAAGGACGAGAGUUGGACACGCAUUUUGAGACUCCAAAAAAUUUCAAAAAUUAUUUUAUUUUAUUUUUUCUGAAUAAAAUUUAAUGUUGGUUUUUUUUCCUUAAAAAAACUUUGGAUUUUUUUUGUCACUAACGUUAUGUUUUGAUUUGAUUAUUAACAAUAUGUUAUUUUUUUUAGCAUUAUAAAAACAUAGUGGUAGUCUGCAAUAUUAUGGUGAUAUGAUAUGUGUCUAUAACAUUAUAUACAGUCAUCUAUAUGUCCCUUAGCUAGUUUACCUUAAGUAUGAGAGUUUAACAGGCAUUUUAAGAACCUAAAAAAUUUAGUUUUAUGAAUUAUUUUAAGACUCCACAAAUAUAUAGUAUCACUUGACUUUAUAGUUCUUUACCACUACUUGUCACGUAUUUUAAGGUUCCCACUUUUUAUAAAUAUAGUUCUAUAAGUUAAUUUUGAGAUUUCCUUUCUGAGUAAAAAAAUCCGUACUCUCGUCCUCUAAGAUAAACUACCUAUGACACAUAUGGAGUACUACAUAUAAAGAUAUAGACACAGAUCACUAUUAUAUUGCAGACUACCGAAAAAUAGAUUUCCGAAAAAUAUCGUUUGGAUGGUCAGAAAAUUUAAAUAAAGGUCUGAUUUUAAUUAAAUAUAAUAAAAUUUCCCAAAAUGCCCCUUCAAAAGUUAACGGUAACGGCAGAAGAUAACGGAAAGGGUGCAAAGUGUCUACGGGUUAAAAGUAAGGGGCUGCAUAGUGUUUAUUCCAAAACUAUUAGGUGCAAUGUGCAACAUGCUGAAAUUAAAGGGGUGCCAAAUGCAAUUAACUCUAAAAAGAAUAACAUAGUGUUAAUAAUCAAAUCCAAACCUAACGUUAGUGACAAAAAAAAAAUCCGAACCUAACAUUAGUGGCAAAAAAGAAAAAAAUUAUAGUUCAGUUGUAGGUUUCUAAACAAAUAAUAAGUUAGGUUGCAAAAAAAUCUAUUUUCUCUAAACUAAAACAUUAUUUACAAUCAAUAAAUUCACUAAUGGAUAACCUAAUAAGUAAGAGAAAAAUCUGUACCCAACGUGGUAUAUUAGAUCUUUAGUGCUUGCAGAAGAGAGGGAAAUAGAAAUUUUUAUUGUUUCCAUUGGUCACUCUGUUCACCAAAUUCAGCAAACAAUAUGCAUAUUCUUCAAAUCGUUAAAAAAAAGAGUUCAAAUUUGACAAAAACUUAUAUAUAAUAUAUUUUAAAAAUGUGCAUUAUAUCCUAAUAAUAAUAAUAAUACAAGCCAAACUACUAAUUACAUACACGAAAUAUGUAUUCAAUCCACGAAAAUGCAUAUAUUCCCAACUUUCAAACGGAUAGCUACGAAACAUGCUCUCAUAAUUAGAUGCAUAUCUCCAAGCGUACCUAUUUUCUUUUGAUGUCAUUUGAAAUUAAUAUAAAAAAAAUAAACUAAACUCUUGUUAGAAUUCAUCUAAUAACUUAUAUUUAUUACCUUAUUGAGAUUCUUUUUCAAAUGUUUUGACUUUCAAUUUUUCUUUUAAAUCAAUAUAUGACGGGAAAAUCAAUUUUUCAAAAUUUACACAAAGUUAAGUUUCUAGAAUAUUAAAUUCAAGAUAUCUAAUAUUUUUGCAACAUAGACAAACAAAAAUAAGAAAGUAGAAGCCCGUUUGUGAUUAAUAUAUAUGUUUGUAAAUAAACUCAUGACUGCUAAAUGAACUAUCAUCACACCCUAAGGGAUGCUAGUAUAUUUUGGAAGAUAAUCAACGUCAACCAGAUUUACACUUUUCAAAUUAGCAACAAUGCUCUCUAACUCCAGUUCAAUUACAUUUAGAAUGACACGCAUGUUUAAAAAAAUUAAGAAAAAAUAUAGUAUUAGUGUCAACAUGAUAAUAAUAUAUACCGUUGCACUUUUACCGUGGCCUCGGAUAACAAAAUAUCUUCAUGUAUUCUUCAACUGCUAUUGACGGAUUUAGAGUUAAUUUUCUAGAAUAAUAAAUUUAAGAUAUCUAAUUUUUUGUAACAUAGACAAAACAAAAUAAAAAAGUAGGAGUUGAGAUUGCCCAUUUGUGAUUAAUAUAUCUGUUUGUAAAUAAACUCAUGAUUGCUAAGUGAACUAUCAUCACACCCUCUUUUUCCGCCGUAAAAAAAAAAGCUUCAAGCAUCUGAAUCAGAUCUUCAUGGUUUGAAUUUUUAAGAUUAUCACGGCAAGAUAUUUGAUACUGUGAAGUUGAUGUAGCAAGGUCGCCCCAUUUUCUUCUAAAAUUUGUAAUAAUAGUGUUAAAAGAUACGUGAUUAACUCUUAAAUAAUUAGCUAGCAUGCAGCAUAACAAAAGUACACUGGACCGUAUAACAUAUUAUGAAGGUCGAAACUGUUACAAAAAAUACAACAAUGUUAUAUUGAUAAUGUAUGAAUUAUAUUUACAUGUAUUAAUAAUUGAAACAUAGAGAAUAUAUAUAGUGUUUGGAACUAAGAGACAUCUUUGUAAUUAUCUCUCAUAAUAAGAUCCAUACAUUUACAAAUUUAAAGAAUUUGAAUCUCUAUGUUGGCUCAAAAGUCAUUAUAAUCUCUGAAUUCGAGAGGGAUGCUAGUAUAUUUUGAAAGAUAAUCAAUGUCAACCAGAUUUACACUAUUCAAAUUAGCAACAAUGCUCUCCAACUCCAAUUCAAUUACAUUUAGAAUGACACACAUGUUUAAAAAAAUUAAGAAAAAAUAUAAUAUUAAUGUCAACAUGAUAAUAAUAUAUACCGUUGCACUCUUAGUGUGACCUCUGUCGGAUAUCUUCAACUGCUAUUGACGGAUUAACAAUGUUUUUUUUGACAAUUUAGAAAUGUUUAUAAUUUUCUAAACAUCAUCAUUAUGUGAAUCACACAAAAUGCUGCCCAUGUUCCGUUGAAAAAUAUACAUAUUAUGAAGGUCUAUACUGCUAAAAAAAAUACAACAAAUGUUAUACAGAUAAUGUAUGAAUUAUAUAUACAUAUAUUAACAAUUUAAUAAUUAAAACAUAGAGAACAUACGUAGCGUUUGAAACAAAGAGACGCUUUCUACAAAAUGAUUUCAUCUCACACAAUAAGAUUCACACAUUCCCAAAUUUAAAGAUUUUGAAUCUCUAUGUUGGCUCGAGAGUCAUUGUAAUGGUCUCAUCUCCCACAAUAACAUCCACACAUUCACAAAUUUAAAGAUUUUGAAUCUCUAUGUUGUCUCGAGAGUCAUUGUAAUCUUUGAAUUCGAGAAUAAUGCUACUAUAUUUUGUAAGAUAAUAACUCAAUCAGAUUUACAUUCUUCAAAUUAGUAAUAAUGCUCUCCAACACCAGUUCAAUUACAUUUACAAUGACAUGCAUGUUUAAAACAAUUAAGAAAGAUAUAAUUAAUAUCACUCACAAUGACAACAUGAUAAUAAUAUAUAUCGUUUCACUCUUCUUGUUUCUUUUGUCAAAUAACAAAAUAUCUUCAUGUAUUCUUCAACUGAUAUUGACGAAGAUCCAUUAACAAGGAAGAAAACAUUUUAUAAAAUAUUUUUUAGACAAUUUAGAAAUGUUUGUAAUUUUCUUAACAGCAUCAUUAUGUGAAUCACACAAAAUGCUGCCAAUGUUCCGUUUCUUUAAGUUUAUCACGAGAUAAAGGUCUUAAAAACAUAUCAUGUACAAAAAAAAAAGUAAUGCACAAUAAAUACGAAACAAUCAACUAUUGGUAUUUUGAAUAACAAAAAUUAUUAUACUAAAAAAGAGUCAUUAAACUUUUAUAAAUUUCCUUACAUGAAAAUUAAUUACUAAUUUCUAAAAACACAUGAAUAUUAAAGUUCGUCUAAUCCAAAUUUUUUUAAAACAAUUCACACAUCAUACUAGAGGAUAAAAUUAUAUGUAGCAAAUGAUAAAAUAUUAAGAGAAAUUUUGGUAAAAUUAGAAAAUAAAAAUUUACACGGGGUUAGAUUCAAGCGGGGAGAAUACAUUACUCUCACCUAGAUCUAUGUUAUAAUGGAAGAGCUCUUUUACUCUAUUUGUCAACCCCGUUUUCAAGGUACCUCAUAUUCUAUUUAUAAGCUUCAUCUAGGAUUGUUGUUGCUUCUUCAGCCCCGUAGUGGGCUUUGUUUGUCUUUGUUGGACUGUGGCCUGACUUCUGUGGGCUGUGGCCCAACACACCUAUAAUAUAUACUCGAGGAUAUCACAUGGCCUCAAAAAUUGAUAUAUUUAUAUAAUACUGACUCCACUUUGGGUAUAUCACCCUAUAAUUUUCCUUUUACAAUUAAAGUUACCCGCUUUGCUACUUGAAACUAAAAAAGCAUCUUCCUAUAUAUUCUCCCUCACAAGGCCAUCAAUUAUUCUAUUUUAACAAAAAGUUAAACUUUCAAUUUAUUUUAAAGAAUAAUUGAAAUAUGUUAUUAAAUACAUGUAUCAUUCAUAAAAAUCAAACUCUUAAUUUAUAUUAAGAAUCAUAAAAAUUCAUUAAUAUGUAAUAAUUGAGGUAAAUAACAAAGGUUAAAGGUCAAAUCUUGAAGAAUGUCAAGUCAAAGUCCCAGGCUUUUCUUAAGUUUGCAAGAAUAAUUGAUUCAUCGGGAAACAAGAACUAUGAUAAUUGAAGUGAUUAAGACCGUUUGGCUUAAUUAAAAUAAGUGAGUUAUUGUUUAAUGUAAAAAAGAGGAUUAUCUAUAUCUAUAUUAUUAUUCUUAAAGCAUGAACUUUUUUAAGGCUAUUCCGGUAAAUUCACAUGCUCUUGGAUCAACCUAUUAGCCAUCUGGAUCUGAUGUAGAGAAGCUAAAACCAGUUUCUUCCCUAUUCAAAUUAACACUCUGCUUUUAAAUUUCGGAUCUUCGUGUAACUCGACCCGGAUUAAGUUGAAUCUCAUAGUAUCUUCCAACCACAUUAGAAUUUGAAAAAAGACAUUGAAUUUAGUUCCUUCAAUCGUGACACUCAUUACGCCUCUAUUUCAAAACAAAUCAGACUUUGAAAUUUGCAUUAAUCACAAAUCUGAAAAUAACGCAUCUGAUCUCGAUAUUAGUUUAAAUAGUCUGAUUUUCGAAUUUGAGGAGUGGUGUCUGCUGUUCUUCAUGCCAUCGAUGUAAGUUAUGGUUUUUCCUUGAAGAUGAGAUAUAAACAAUUGCAAUAUGAAUGUAAUGAUGUGNAUAAACAAUUGCAAUAUGAAUGUAAUGAUGUGUUUUUUUUUUUUUUUGAAGAUAUCUUUAAAGUUUUUCUAUUUUUUGAAUCUUAUGAUUUGUACUGGUUUAGAUUGUACAUCAUAGCAUCUUUCAGAUUUCUGUCUAUACGGUGUUAUUUCAACCUUGUAGAUCGAAAAGGAGGAGUGAUCUCUCAUGUUCUUUGUAACAUUGUUGUUGGUUGUGAGUUUUGGAUAUAAAUUAUACAUAUCAUAUAACCAAUGCUUCUGCUUUUAAUUUAAUGAGAACAUAAUUGUUUUUCCUGAAAAUGAGAACAUAAUUGUUAAUUAGUCUAGCAAAAUUAUAGUCCAUGAAUCAAACUAUUGAAUACUGCAUCCAUUCUCGUAUCUCGCAUUUCCCAUAUAAAUAUAGCACGAAUCUGACGGACAAUAAUCCUCUAUUGGCCUGUUCAUAUAAAAAAGUAUAAAUAUUUAAUUAUUUAUAAACUAAAAUCUAGAAUUUCAAUAAAAAAAUUUAUAUUUUAGUUCUUACUCCCUCUGUCCCGGUCAAUUGUAUAUGUUUCUUUUUCAUUGCUCGACACGCUUUUUAAGGCUCUUAUAAAACAUAGCUCUACAACUUAUUUUUAAGAUUUUCUUUUUUUUAUAAAAAUAUAACAUUUAUAUUUUUAUACAAAAAAAGAAAAUCUUAAAAGUAAUUUACAUAACUAUAUUAUAUUAAAGUAUUAAAGUUCGUGCCGCGCCCCCGUCCCCGAUGUAUACUAUUGACCGGGACGGAGGGAGUAUCCAAUUAUGAAUACAUCCUCGUCAAUAUCACGUGACGGCCCACAGAUCAAUUAAACAAACACUUAUCCAUCUCUAAUUCUCUAUCUAUAAAUACACGUACACACACAUCUACACUCUCAUUCACUACCAAUAAUACACACAGUUGCAAAUAAACAUGAAGAGCACAGGAAAGAGCAGCUCAAAUCCCAAGGCAACCGGAAAAUCCGGUCACGAAGCCCGAAAAGAUCGCCAGUCCGGCACCGGAGUCACCGGAUCACCGAAGAAAGGCGGUCACGGCGGCAAGUUCACCUGGUCCGGCGAUAACGCAAACCUCGGGAACGAUGAGUUCAUCGCCGCCGUUGAUCGUAAUGACCCUAACUUUGAAGAUCCCGAUGUUGCUGUAGCGGAGAAUUAAUAGAUUAUUAUUCGAUAGAUGUAUGUAUGUAUAUGUUUGUUUUUCUGGUAUUAAGUUGUAUCGAUAUAUGGAUUUAUCUCUGUAUGAUGAAGUAUCGAUCAUUAUAAAAUUGUCGCGAUUUAAUUUUUCUCGUAACAUCGAUCCGGUUCGGAGUCCGAAAAUAUGUUUAUAAUAAUAUAAUGAAAGAUUGUGAUAAUAUGCAUAUCAGAAUACAAUGCA